AGAGUUUGAUCCUGGCUCAGGACGAACGCUGGCGGCACGCUUAACACAUGCAAGUCGAACGAGAGAAGAGGAGCCUGCCUUUCUGAUCUAGUGGCGGACGGGUGAGUAACACGUGAGCAAUCUGCCUUUCAGAGGGGGAUACCGAUUGGAAACGAUCGUUAAUACCGCAUAACAUAAUUGAACCGCAUGAUUUGAUUAUCAAAGAUUUAUCGCUGAAAGAUGAGCUCGCGUCUGAUUAGCUAGUUGGUAAGGUAACGGCUUACCAAGGCGACGAUCAGUAGCCGGACUGAGAGGUUGAUCGGCCACAUUGGGACUGAGACACGGCCCAGACUCCUACGGGAGGCAGCAGUGGGGAAUAUUGCACAAUGGAGGAAACUCUGAUGCAGCGAUGCCGCGUGAGGGAAGAAGGUUUUAGGAUUGUAAACCUCUGUCUUCAGGGACGAAAAAAGACGGUACCUGAGGAGGAAGCUCCGGCUAACUACGUGCCAGCAGCCGCGGUAAUACGUAGGGAGCGAGCGUUGUCCGGAAUUACUGGGUGUAAAGGGAGCGUAGGCGGGAUCGCAAGUCAGAUGUGAAAACUAUGGGCUUAACCCAUAAACUGCAUUUGAAACUGUGGUUCUUGAGUGAAGUAGAGGUAAGCGGAAUUCCUAGUGUAGCGGUGAAAUGCGUAGAUAUUAGGAGGAACAUCAGUGGCGAAGGCGGCUUACUGGGCUUUAACUGACGCUGAGGCUCGAAAGCGUGGGGAGCAAACAGGAUUAGAUACCCUGGUAGUCCACGCCGUAAACGAUGAUUACUAGGUGUGGGGGGACUGACCCCUUCCGUGCCGCAGCAAACGCAAUAAGUAAUCCACCUGGGGAGUACGACCGCAAGGUUGAAACUCAAAGGAAUUGACGGGGGCCCGCACAAGCAGUGGAGUAUGUGGAUUAAUUCGAAGCAACGCGAAGAACCUUACCAGGUCUUGACAUCGUAUGCAUAGCUCAGAGAUGAGUGAAAUCUCUUCGGAGACAUAUAGACAGGUGGUGCAUGGUUGUCGUCAGCUCGUGUCGUGAGAUGUUGGGUUAAGUCCCGCAACGAGCGCAACCCUUACUGUUAGUUGCUACGCAAGAGCACUCUAGCAGGACUGCCGUUGACAAAACGGAGGAAGGUGGGGAUGACGUCAAAUCAUCAUGCCCCUUAUGACCUGGGCCUCACACGUACUACAAUGGCUGUCAACAGAGGGAAGCAAAGCCGCGAGGUGGAGCGAACCCCUAAAAGCAGUCUUAGUUCGGAUUGUAGGCUGCAACCCGCCUACAUGAAGUCGGAAUUGCUAGUAAUCGCAGAUCAGCAUGCUGCGGUGAAUACGUUCCCGGGCCUUGUACACACCGCCCGUCACGCCAUGGGAGUCGGUAACACCCGAAGCCUGUAGUCUAACCGCAAGGAGGACGCAGUCGAAGGUGGGAUUGAUGACUGGGGUGAAGUCGUAACAAGGUA
Molecule: ribosomal RNA, 1470 nt
Filed under: metagenome
Description: bacterial SSU rRNA
Rfam family: Bacterial small subunit ribosomal RNA
Source: RNAcentral